Molecule: long non-coding RNA, 216 nt
Filed under: Pelobates cultripes (western spadefoot toad)
Lineage: Eukaryota; Metazoa; Chordata; Amphibia; Anura; Pelobatidae
Source: RNAcentral
AUCUCUGAGGACAGGUGUCAAUCCAUAUCUGCCAAGUGACCCUAUGUAGGGGGAACAGUCUCUAUUCUGCUCUCUGUCAGUGUGUAUCAUGGUCUCUGAGGACAGGUGUCAAUCCAUAUCUACCAAGUGACCCUAUGUAGGGGGAACAGUCCCUAUUAUACUCUGUGUCAGUGUUUAUCAGUGAUCCUUAGGAUAGGUAUCAAUCCAUAUCUGCCA